AUAAAAUUAGUUUAAAUAAAAUAGUAAAUUGUGGUUUUACAGAUAAUUAUAAAAAUUAUUUUAUU
This 65-nucleotide transfer RNA is filed under the name Eumandya parva. RNAcentral's name for it is "tRNA-His". The record is from RNAcentral. Lineage: Eukaryota; Metazoa; Mollusca; Cephalopoda; Sepiida; Sepiolidae.